AUCCGGCUCUUUUAGGGUCCGAGUUGUAAUUUGUAGAAGAUGCUUUGGGUGUGGCACCGGUCUAAGUUCCUUGGAACAGGACGUCAUAGAGGGUGAGAAUCCCGUACGUGACUGGCCGCCUUCGCCUAUGUAAAGCUCUUUCGACGAGUCGAGUUGUUUGGGAAUGCAGCUCAAAAUGGGUGGUAAAUUUCAUCUAAAGCUAAAUAUUGGCCAGAGACCGAUAGCGCACAAGUAGAGUGAUCGAAAGAUGAAAAGCACUUUGGAAAGAGAGUUAAACAGUACGUGAAAUUGUUGAAAGGGAAGCGCUUGCAACCAGACUUGCGCGUAGUUGAUCAUCCGGUGUUCUCACCGGUGCACUCGGCUGCGCUCAGGCCAGCAUCGGUUUCGGUGGUUGGAUAAAGGCCCUAGGAACGUAGCUCCUCUCGGGGAGUGUUAUAGCCUAGGGUGCAAUGCAGCCUACCGGGACCGAGGACCGCGCUUCGGCUAGGAUGCUGGCGUAAUGGUUGUAAGCGACCCGUCUUGAAACACGGACCAAGGAGUCUAACAUCUAUGCGAGUGUUUGGGUGUCAAACCCAUACGCGUAAUGAAAGUGAACGGAGGUGAGAACCCUUAAGGGUGCAUCAUCGACCGAUCCUGAUGUCUUCGGAUGGAUUUGAGUAAGAGCAUAGCUGUUGGGACCCGAAAGAUGGUGAACUAUGCGUGAAUAGGGUGAAGCCAGAGGAAACUCUGGUGGAGGC
Molecule: ribosomal RNA, 737 nt
Filed under: Rommelaarsia flavovirens
Lineage: Eukaryota; Fungi; Ascomycota; Leotiomycetes; Helotiales
Description: LSU rRNA
Rfam family: Eukaryotic large subunit ribosomal RNA
Source: RNAcentral